Molecule: RNA transcript, 1516 nt
Organism: Triticum aestivum (bread wheat)
Lineage: Eukaryota; Viridiplantae; Streptophyta; Magnoliopsida; Poales; Poaceae
Gene name: BTB/POZ and MATH domain-containing protein 1-like
Exons: 3
Source: RefSeq, a predicted model, not a curated record
AGUCGGCGGGGGUCAUUCGCCCGCGACCUUCCGUGGAGGCCUAGCGACGACGACGGCGCGGCCGACGGGCGACGGCGCCUUAGUUUCCGACCACCACCGCCGCCGCCGCCGUGGGAGUUGGAGGAAAACCUAUUAGCAAGCAUUAAUCGGAUACCAAGAUGCUGGGCUCCGGAUUCAUCGAGUUCGAACUGGAAUAUUCAAAAACCACGAACCUUUCAGUCGGCGACGUCGUCCACUCCGAUGAGAUCUUUGCCGGAGGGCACGUCUGGAAGAUAUACUGCUACCCAUAUGGCACCAAGAAGACCAGCACAGGCAGAUACGUCUCUCUGUACCUACGGCUCGUCAGCAAAGCCAAAUUUGUCAAGGCCAUCUUUGAGGCUUCCCUGCUACGCAGGGGCGGUCCUGGGCGUGCAAAAAGAUGCACCAAGGUGUACCCACCUAAUGGCAUCAGCUCUAGGAGCAGGGGAUGGCAUGAGUUUGUAAGCCGAAGCGAUCUGGAGUCUGGUUCCGUCCGGAAAGGAUGCGUUACAUUCUUAUGUGGGAUCACGGUUCUGUGUGACAGCUCCAUUGCUGUGCCAUCCUCGGACAUAGAGAGCCAUCUUGGCGGUCUGCUGGAUCGCUCCGAGGGGACGGAUGUUUCAUUCUGCGUGAAAGGCAAGACGUUUCACGCGCACCGGGCAAUUCUCGCCGCGCGGUCACCGGUCUUCAAGGCGGAGCUCUUCGGCCCCAUGGCCGAGGCUACAAUGGCGUGUGCCACGCUGCACGAAAUUGAACCUUUGGUGUUUAAAACCCUGCUUCGGUUCGUGUACACUGAUUCCCUGCCUGUAGACAGAGAGCUUGGGGACUCUGUCACUGAUAUGGGAAAACAUCUUCUUGCUGCAGCUGAUCGGUAUGCAUUGGACCGGUUGAAGCUUGCAUGUGCUCAGAAGUUGUGGGAAGGCGUGUCGGUCGAUACGGUUGCGGAUGCUUUAGCUUGCGCUGAGAUAUACAAUUGCCAAGAGUUGAAGAGCAGGUGCAUUGACUUUGUUAUGGCAAAAGAUAAUUUCAAGAAGACUGUGUUGACUGAAAGUUUCAUUAGCUUGUUGCAUAAAUUCCCCUCUAUUCGUGCUGAGCUGAGAGCGAAGGUUGGGAGUUGAGACAUAGGUUAGUGGGAUGCAUCUCCACUUAUGUUUCAGGCGUCAAGGAUUGCUUUGCACUGGAUUAGACGGAAAAAAAUCGUUGCCAAGUGAUACUGGCAAGUAAGGGGACAUGGAGGAAAUCGUGGUACAGUUCAGAUACAGAGCUAUGGAUGUGCACUGUCCUGAAGCUUUGUAUGCUACUUUCGGUUCUGCACCAUUUUAUCCUGGAUGUGCACACUGUCCUGAAGCUUGUUUUUGGAUGUCCAUUUCGGCUUUUCUGAUAAUGUAACUAUGCGUUGUCUUAACUCCAUGGCCCCUCAAAAAAAACUCCAUGGUCCCUUAUAAACUAUCUCAAACUUCUAUAAGUUUGGUUUUGCAAUGAAAAAGCCUCUGGGUGC